Long non-coding RNA from Cucumis sativus (cucumber), 475 nucleotides. RefSeq lists it as uncharacterized. Lineage: Eukaryota; Viridiplantae; Streptophyta; Magnoliopsida; Cucurbitales; Cucurbitaceae. The record is from RefSeq and is a predicted model, not a curated record. The transcript is spliced from 2 exons.
UUGACAAUUUGAUUAAACUUUCUGGUCUUGUGAUUAUUUUAUUACUGAGAUCUGAUCUUGAUUUGGUCUUCCACAGGAUCUGCUAAGUUCGAGGAAUGCUGACCCUUGAAGGAAAGAGAAAGAGUUUGACAACUUGGUCAGCAUAAUGUGCUAAUCAUAAAAGUUACUCCAUACGUUGCACUGACUGUCUGAGAUUUGGAUUUUUUAGUUGCUCUGUUUGCUAUCAAGGAUGGGGGUAAGGACUUGUCUGCACACUUCAGUUGGUAGUUGAAAUUCAAUGUUUUUGUUCUUUUGUUUGGAUCUUGAAAGGCUGAUUUUCCAUUCCUGGUCUGUUUCUUCUUCUGCUUGAGUCAUGAGGAUUCUCUUUUAUGUUUAAGCAUAGCUCUCCUGGAUUAAUUUUAGACCACGCUUGUAAUGAGAUUCUAUUGAUAGUUUUAUUCCCACCAUCUAAAUAUAAUUAGAUUACUUUUGAUCA